AGCGAACGCUGGCGGCAGGCUUAACACAUGCAAGUCGAGCGGCCGUAGCAAUACGGCAGCGGCAGACGGGAGAGUAACACGUGGGAACGUGCCUAUCAGUUCGGAACAACCCAGGGAAACUUGGGCUAAUACCGGAUACGCCCUUACGGGGAAAGAUUUAUCGCUGAUAGAGCGGCCCGCGUCUGAUUAGCUUGUUGGUGAGGUAACGGCUCACCAAGGCGACGAUCAGUAGCUGGUCUGAGAGGAUGAUCAGCCUCACUGGGACUGAGACACGGCCCAGACUCCUACGGGAGGCAGCAGUGGGGAAUAUUGGACAAUGGGCGCAAGCCUGAUCCAGCCAUGCCGCGUGAGUGAUGAAGGCCUUAGGGUUGUAAAGCUCUUUCGUCCGGGACGAUAAUGACGGUACCGGAAGAAGAAGCCCCGGCUAACUUCGUGCCAGCAGCCGCCGUAACAC
Molecule: ribosomal RNA, 454 nt
Filed under: uncultured bacterium
Lineage: Bacteria
Description: bacterial SSU rRNA
Rfam family: Bacterial small subunit ribosomal RNA
Source: RNAcentral